ACGCGAAAAACCUUACCUACCCUUGACAUGUACGGAACUUGCNANAGAUGGCUUGGUGCUCGAAAGAGAGCCGUAACACAGGUGCUGCAUGGCUGUCGUCAGCUCGUGUCGUGAGAUGUUGGGUUAAGUCCCGCAACGAGCGCAACCCUUGUCAUUAGUUGCUACAUUUAGUUGGGCACUCUAAUGAGACUGCCGGUGACAAACCGGAGGAAGGUGGGGAUGACGUCAAGUCCUCAUGGCCCUUAUGGGUAGGGCUACACACGUCAUACAAUGGCUGGUACAAAGGGUUGCCAACCCGCGAGGGGGAGCUAAUCCCAUAAAGCCAGUCGUAGUCCGGAUCGUAGUCUGCAACUCGACUGCGUGAAGUCGGAAUCGCUAGUAAUUGUGGAUCAGAGUGUCACGGUGAAUACGUUCCCGGGUCUUGUACACACCGCCCGUCACACCAUGGGAGCGGGUCUCGCCAGAAGUAGUUAGCCUAACCGCAAGGGGG
Molecule: ribosomal RNA, 490 nt
Filed under: uncultured bacterium
Lineage: Bacteria
Description: bacterial SSU rRNA
Rfam family: Bacterial small subunit ribosomal RNA
Source: RNAcentral